GGAGACAGCAGGUAUAACAGGCUGUGUGUUCUGGGCUGUGUGUGUACCUGGUAGGGUGGAGGGGAGGAGACAGCAGGUAUAACAGGCUGUGUGUUCUGGGCUGUGUGUGUACCUGGUAGGGUGGAGGGGAGGAGACAGCAGGUAUAACAGGCUGUGUGUUCUGGGCUGUGUGUGUACCUGGUAGGGUGGAGGUGAGGACACAGCAGG
Molecule: long non-coding RNA, 207 nt
Organism: Oncorhynchus keta (chum salmon)
Lineage: Eukaryota; Metazoa; Chordata; Actinopteri; Salmoniformes; Salmonidae
Exons: 3
Source: RefSeq, a predicted model, not a curated record